CUCGUUUGCUAUUAAAGACACAACUAUAACAACAACAAUAGUCAUUUUAAAACACACUUCAAGAAAACCACGAUAGCACACCAACCAAUUUAAAAAUGUACUCGUUUGUUAAAGCCACCGACUUCUUCACCAUCCUGUUCUUUCUAGCCACUGCAACUGUCGCAAUCUCCUUUAACACAUCUGAACUAGAUGUGCUCGAGAGGGCUCGAGCUUCGGUGGUUGAAGCGAGAACUAGGUUUGGUUCAAUGGCAACGGUUGAGGCAACAAAUGAAGUUGCUAGAAGUUAUUAUAGUUUGGGUUUAAGUGACUGUGAGAAGCUAUACGAUGAAAGUGAGGCAAGAUUGUCAAACCUUGUAGUGGCUCAUGAGAAUUUCACCGUUGAAGAUGUCAGAACGUGGCUAAGCGGCGUGCUCGCUAACCAUCACACUUGUUUAGACGGCUUGGAUCAGUCACGUCAAGGCGACAAGCCUUUGGUCCAUAGUAACAUUACGGUUGUUCUGGGAGAAGCUUUGGCUUUCUACAAAAAAACUAGAGGUCAUCUAAAAAAGAGGAGACCUAACCAUGCACCGACGAGACAACACCAUGCAACGACUAGACCACACCAUGGACCGACGAGACCAAAUCAUGGACCAGCCAGACCAUACCAUGGACCGGCCAGACCAAAUCAGAGCGGAGGAAUGUUAGUGUCAUGGAAUCCGACAGGGUCAAGGGCGGAUUUCGUGGUGGCUAAGGACGGUUCAGCAACUCAUCGGUCGAUAAGCGAGGCAUUAGCCGCCGUUUCAAGAAUGGGUAAAAGCCGAACGAAUAGAGUGAUAAUCUACAUAAAAGCGGGUGUGUAUAACGAAAAAAUCGAAAUAGAUAGACACAUGAAGAACAUCAUGCUAGUUGGUGAUGGUAUGGACCGUACAAUCAUCACCAAUAACCGAAAUGUCCCGGAUGGUUCCUCGACUUAUGGAUCAGCCACAUUCGGGGUGUCCGGAGAUGGAUUUUGGGCACGGGACAUGACGUUCGAGAACACGGCAGGACCACAUAAACAUCAAGCUGUGGCAUUGAGAGUGAACUCGGAUUUGUCUGUAUUCUAUCGGUGUAGCUUCAGAGGAUAUCAAGACACUCUUUUCACACACUCGCUUCGUCAAUUCUACCGCGACUGCCAUAUUUAUGGUACGAUUGAUUUCAUAUUUGGAGAUGCGUCUGCUGUUUUCCAAAACUGUGAUAUAUUUGUGAGACGGCCAAUGGAUCACCAAGGCAAUAUGAUCACAGCUCAAGGAAGAGACAACCCACAUGAAAAUACAGGCAUAUCGAUCCAAAACUCACGGGUCCGGGCCUCACCAGAAUUUGAGGCGGUUAAAGGCCAGUUUAAGAGCUACUUGGGCCGGCCGUGGAAGAAAUACUCUCGGACGGUGUUUCUCAAGACGGAUCUCGACGGGUUGAUUGACCCAAGAGGGUGGAGAGAAUGGAGAGGAGAUUUCGCUCUAUCAACUUUGUAUUACGGCGAGUUUAUGAACACCGGAAGUGGAGCAGGGACUAGUAGAAGGGUGAGCUGGCCAGGGUUUCACGUUCUUCACGGCGCCGACGAAGCUUCUCCGUUCACUGUCAGCCGAUUUAUACAAGGAGAUUCUUGGAUCCCUAUCACCGGGGUACCAUUUUCUGCCGGGGUUUGAGUCGGUCUUUAAGUAACUCGAUGAAGCCAGAGGAGUCGACCAGAGCUGAGUAAGACGCAUUCUCUUCCGAAGCCGUCAUGGUCCUAGACACCGUUCUGGUCCUGACCACUAACUAUUCUAUGAUCUAAACCAGCUAUUUCAUACAACUCUAACCUCUGAGGUUGUCCUAGACACCGUUCUGGUCCUGACCACUUCCAUGAUCUAAACCAGCUAUUUCACACAACUCUAACCUCUGAGAUACGUGACAUGAACCUUGGGGUAUCAGUGGGGUUUGAGCCGGUCUUUAAGUGACUCGAUAAUAAUAUCAACGCGCAGAAAUAUACAGAAGCCUGAGGAAGAGACCAGAGCUGAGUAAAACGCAUUAUCAUCCGAACCCGUCAUGGUCUUAGGUCCGACUUGUUUCCCCGGGUGGUAU
Brassica rapa (field mustard) is the source of this 2076-nucleotide RNA transcript. It is a transcript of the gene named probable pectinesterase/pectinesterase inhibitor 36, with no coding region annotated. Lineage: Eukaryota; Viridiplantae; Streptophyta; Magnoliopsida; Brassicales; Brassicaceae. The record is from RefSeq and is a predicted model, not a curated record.